Long non-coding RNA from Sorex araneus (European shrew), 577 nucleotides. RefSeq lists it as uncharacterized. The record is from RefSeq and is a predicted model, not a curated record. NCBI's taxonomy places the organism in Eukaryota, Metazoa, Chordata, Mammalia, Eulipotyphla, Soricidae. The transcript has 5 exons.
AGACCCGGGUCCGCCGCGUGCCGGGGCGCGGGGGAGCCCGGGGGGCGCCGACGGCUCGACAAAGUUGGGCGUGUGCGUGUGUGCGUGUGCGCGCCAGCCUGGAGCUAGCAGGCAGCCGCCGUGGUUCCCCUCGCACUCCCCCUCCAGAGAAUUCCCCGAGAAGGAGGGCGCCGGCUUCGGGCCGGGGAUAGACCUGCGGCGGCGGCGGGAACGGCCACGCACAGAUCACAGACCUUGAUUGCAUUUUCCAACUACCCUAGCAACUAAAUGCAGUUAACUACAAUGACCUGGGAUGCCAGAACUACACGCCAGAAUUUGAAUCCAUGAACUGGCAUAUGAGGAAGGAGCUAUCCACUGACCAGCAAACACUUUUUGGACUAUUAUGCUAUGGAUUUCAAACCACAGACUGGGAACCUAGAAAUUUGAUACUUCUGGAUAAGAGAUUGAGGCCUAUUACAAAAAUCAAGAAAAGAAAGGAUUUUAGAGAGAAGACUAUAGAAUGUGAUUUGCUCACUCCUCCGGGACUAAGGAUACUUUGAAUUCUUUUGUUCAGUUCUUUCUGAAAGCUGAAGAUCAG